AGAAUCAACGCUGGCGGCGUGCCUAACACAUGCAAGUCGAACGAGAAAGUGGAGCAAUCCAUGAGUAAAGUGGCGCACGGGUGAGUAACACGUGACUAACCUACCCUUGAGUGGGGGAUAACCUAGAGAAAUCUGGGCUAAUACCGCAUAAUACCUUCGGGUCAAAGGAGCAAUUCGCUUAAGGAGGGGGUCGCGGCCGAUUAGUUAGUUGGCGGGGUAAUGGCCCACCAAGACUGUGAUCGGUAUCCGGCCUGAGAGGGCGCACGGACACACUGGAACUGAAACACGGUCCAGACUCCUACGGGAGGCAGCAGUGGGGAAUUUUGCGCAAUGGGGGAAACCCUGACGCAGCAACGCCGCGUGGAGGAUGAAGUCCCUUGGGACGUAAACUCCUUUCGAUCGGGACGAUUAUGACGGUACCGGAAGAAGAACGCCCCGGCUAACUUCGCGCCAGCAGCCGC
Molecule: ribosomal RNA, 461 nt
Filed under: uncultured bacterium
Lineage: Bacteria
Description: SSU rRNA
Rfam family: Bacterial small subunit ribosomal RNA
Source: RNAcentral